This 1406-nucleotide ribosomal RNA is filed under the name Lactiplantibacillus plantarum. RNAcentral describes it as "bacterial SSU rRNA". It matches the Rfam family "Bacterial small subunit ribosomal RNA", at positions 62 to 1434 of the family's 1533-position model. Lineage: Bacteria; Bacillati; Bacillota; Bacilli; Lactobacillales; Lactobacillaceae. The record is from RNAcentral.
UCGAACGAACUCUGGUAUUGAUUGGUGCUUGCAUCAUGAUUUACAUUUGAGUGAGUGGCGAACUGGUGAGUAACACGUGGGAAACCUGCCCAGAAGCGGGGGAUAACACCUGGAAACAGAUGCUAAUACCGCAUAACAACUUGGACCGCAUGGUCCGAGCUUGAAAGAUGGCUUCGGCUAUCACUUUUGGAUGGUCCCGCGGCGUAUUAGCUAGAUGGUGAGGUAACGGCUCACCAUGGCAAUGAUACGUAGCCGACCUGAGAGGGUAAUCGGCCACAUUGGGACUGAGACACGGCCCAAACUCCUACGGGAGGCAGCAGUAGGGAAUCUUCCACAAUGGACGAAAGUCUGAUGGAGCAACGCCGCGUGAGUGAAGAAGGGUUUCGGCUCGUAAAACUCUGUUGUUAAAGAAGAACAUAUCUGAGAGUAACUGUUCAGGUAUUGACGGUAUUUAACCAGAAAGCCACGGCUAACUACGUGCCAGCAGCCGCGGUAAUACGUAGGUGGCAAGCGUUGUCCGGAUUUAUUGGGCGUAAAGCGAGCGCAGGCGGUUUUUUAAGUCUGAUGUGAAAGCCUUCGGCUCAACCGAAGAAGUGCAUCGGAAACUGGGAAACUUGAGUGCAGAAGAGGACAGUGGAACUCCAUGUGUAGCGGUGAAAUGCGUAGAUAUAUGGAAGAACACCAGUGGCGAAGGCGGCUGUCUGGUCUGUAACUGACGCUGAGGCUCGAAAGUAUGGGUAGCAAACAGGAUUAGAUACCCUGGUAGUCCAUACCGUAAACGAUGAAUGCUAAGUGUUGGAGGGUUUCCGCCCUUCAGUGCUGCAGCUAACGCAUUAAGCAUUCCGCCUGGGGAGUACGGCCGCAAGGCUGAAACUCAAAGGAAUUGACGGGGGCCCGCACAAGCGGUGGAGCAUGUGGUUUAAUUCGAAGCUACGCGAAGAACCUUACCAGGUCUUGACAUACUAUGCAAAUCUAAGAGAUUAGACGUUCCCUUCGGGGACAUGGAUACAGGUGGUGCAUGGUUGUCGUCAGCUCGUGUCGUGAGAUGUUGGGUUAAGUCCCGCAACGAGCGCAACCCUUAUUAUCAGUUGCCAGCAUUAAGUUGGGCACUCUGGUGAGACUGCCGGUGACAAACCGGAGGAAGGUGGGGAUGACGUCAAAUCAUCAUGCCCCUUAUGACCUGGGCUACACACGUGCUACAAUGGAUGGUACAACGAGUUGCGAACUCGCGAGAGUAAGCUAAUCUCUUAAAGCCAUUCUCAGUUCGGAUUGUAGGCUGCAACUCGCCUACAUGAAGUCGGAAUCGCUAGUAAUCGCGGAUCAGCAUGCCGCGGUGAAUACGUUCCCGGGCCUUGUACACACCGCCCGUCACACCAUGAGAGUUUGUAACACCCAAAGUCGGUGGG